This 2924-nucleotide ribosomal RNA is filed under the name Klebsiella pneumoniae. RNAcentral describes it as "bacterial LSU rRNA". It matches the Rfam family "Bacterial large subunit ribosomal RNA". Lineage: Bacteria; Pseudomonadati; Pseudomonadota; Gammaproteobacteria; Enterobacterales; Enterobacteriaceae. RNAcentral also lists the same sequence under 1 other name. The record is from RNAcentral.
GGGUUGUGAGGUUAAGCGACUAAGCGUACACGGUGGAUGCCCUGGCAGUCAGAGGCGAUGAAGGACGUGCUAAUCUGCGAAAAGCGUCGGUAAGGUGAUAUGAACCGUUAUAACCGGCGAUGUCCGAAUGGGGAAACCCAGUGCAAUUCGUUGCACUAUCGUUAACUGAAUACAUAGGUUAACGAGGCGAACCGGGGGAACUGAAACAUCUAAGUACCCCGAGGAAAAGAAAUCAACCGAGAUUCCCCCAGUAGCGGCGAGCGAACGGGGAGCAGCCCAGAGUCUGAAUCAGCUUGUGUGUUAGUGGAACGGUCUGGAAAGUCCGACGGUACAGGGUGAUAGUCCCGUACACCAAAAUGCACAGGUUGUGAACUCGAAGAGUAGGGCGGGACACGUGGUAUCCUGUCUGAAUAUGGGGGGACCAUCCUCCAAGGCUAAAUACUCCUGACUGACCGAUAGUGAACCAGUACCGUGAGGGAAAGGCGAAAAGAACCCCGGCGAGGGGAGUGAAAAAGAACCUGAAACCGUGUACGUACAAGCAGUGGGAGCACCUUCGGGUGUGACUGCGUACCUUUUGUAUAAUGGGUCAGCGACUUAUAUUCUGUAGCAAGGUUAACCGUAUAGGGGAGCCGCAGGGAAACCGAGUCUUAACUGGGCGUUAAGUUGCAGGGUAUAGACCCGAAACCCGGUGAUCUAGCCAUGGGCAGGUUGAAGGUUGGGUAACACUAACUGGAGGACCGAACCGACUAAUGUUGAAAAAUUAGCGGAUGACUUGUGGCUGGGGGUGAAAGGCCAAUCAAACCGGGAGAUAGCUGGUUCUCCCCGAAAGCUAUUUAGGUAGCGCCUCGUGAAUUCAUCUUCGGGGGUAGAGCACUGUUUCGGCUAGGGGGUCAUCCCGACUUACCAACCCGAUGCAAACUACGAAUACCGAAGAAUGUUAUCACGGGAGACACACGGCGGGUGCUAACGUCCGUCGUGAAGAGGGAAACAACCCAGACCGCCAGCUAAGGUCCCAAAGUCAUGGUUAAGUGGGAAACGAUGUGGGAAGGCACAGACAGCCAGGAUGUUGGCUUAGAAGCAGCCAUCAUUUAAAGAAAGCGUAAUAGCUCACUGGUCGAGUCGGCCUGCGCGGAAGAUGUAACGGGGCUAAACCAUGCACCGAAGCUGCGGCAGCGACGCUUAUGCGUUGUUGGGUAGGGGAGCGUUCUGUAAGCCUGCGAAGGUGACCUGUGAGGGUUGCUGGAGGUAUCAGAAGUGCGAAUGCUGACAUAAGUAACGAUAAAGCGGGUGAAAAGCCCGCUCGCCGGAAGACCAAGGGUUCCUGUCCAACGUUAAUCGGGGCAGGGUGAGUCGACCCCUAAGGCGAGGCCGAAAGGCGUAGUCGAUGGGAAACAGGUUAAUAUUCCUGUACUUGGUGUUACUGCGAAGGGGGGACGGAGAAGGCUAUGUUAGCCGGGCGACGGUUGUCCCGGUUUAAGCAUGUAGGCUGGUUGUCCAGGCAAAUCCGGAUAAUCAAGGCUGAGGUGUGAUGACGAGGCACUACGGUGCUGAAGUAACAAAUGCCCUGCUUCCAGGAAAAGCCUCUAAGCAUCAGGUAACAUUAAAUCGUACCCCAAACCGACACAGGUGGUCAGGUAGAGAAUACCAAGGCGCUUGAGAGAACUCGGGUGAAGGAACUAGGCAAAAUGGUGCCGUAACUUCGGGAGAAGGCACGCUGGUGUGUAGGUGAAGUCCCUGCGGAUGGAGCUGAGACCAGUCGAAGAUACCAGCUGGCUGCAACUGUUUAUUAAAAACACAGCACUGUGCAAACACGAAAGUGGACGUAUACGGUGUGACGCCUGCCCGGUGCCGGAAGGUUAAUUGAUGGGGUUAUCCGUAAGGAGAAGCUCUUGAUCGAAGCCCCGGUAAACGGCGGCCGUAACUAUAACGGUCCUAAGGUAGCGAAAUUCCUUGUCGGGUAAGUUCCGACCUGCACGAAUGGCGUAAUGAUGGCCAGGCUGUCUCCACCCGAGACUCAGUGAAAUUGAACUCGCUGUGAAGAUGCAGUGUACCCGCGGCAAGACGGAAAGACCCCGUGAACCUUUACUAUAGCUUGACACUGAACAUUGAGCCUUGAUGUGUAGGAUAGGUGGGAGGCUUUGAAGCGUGGACGCCAGUCUGCGUGGAGCCAACCUUGAAAUACCACCCUUUAAUGUUUGAUGUUCUAACGUUGGCCCCUUACCGGGGUUGCGGACAGUGUCUGGUGGGUAGUUUGACUGGGGCGGUCUCCUCCCAAAGCGUAACGGAGGAGCACGAAGGUUAGCUAAUCCUGGUCGGACAUCAGGAGGUUAGUGCAAUGGCAUAAGCUAGCUUGACUGCGAGCGUGACGGCGCGAGCAGGUGCGAAAGCAGGUCAUAGUGAUCCGGUGGUUCUGAAUGGAAGGGCCAUCGCUCAACGGAUAAAAGGUACUCCGGGGAUAACAGGCUGAUACCGCCCAAGAGUUCAUAUCGACGGCGGUGUUUGGCACCUCGAUGUCGGCUCAUCACAUCCUGGGGCUGAAGUAGGUCCCAAGGGUAUGGCUGUUCGCCAUUUAAAGUGGUACGCGAGCUGGGUUUAGAACGUCGUGAGACAGUUCGGUCCCUAUCUGCCGUGGGCGCUGGAGAAUUGAGGGGGGCUGCUCCUAGUACGAGAGGACCGGAGUGGACGCAUCACUGGUGUUCGGGUUGUCAUGCCAAUGGCACUGCCCGGUAGCUAAAUGCGGAAGAGAUAAGUGCUGAAAGCAUCUAAGCACGAAACUUGCCCCGAGAUGAGUUCUCCCUGAGACUUUAAGUCUCCUGAAGGAACGUUAAAGACGAUGACGUUGAUAGGCCGGGUGUGUAAGCGCAGCGAUGCGUUGAGCUAACCGGUACUAAUGAACCGUGAGGCUUAACCUUACAACGCCGAAG